This 212-nucleotide long non-coding RNA is filed under the name Physcomitrium patens. Its description in RNAcentral is "long non-coding RNA (PPAT_LNC010877)". The record is from RNAcentral. Lineage: Eukaryota; Viridiplantae; Streptophyta; Bryopsida; Funariales; Funariaceae.
AGGGAUAGAUAACUGCUGAAAAGGUGGUUCAAUAGGUAGAAUGGAUGAAUAGUCAGGAAAAGUAGUUAUCAUUUGUAGUAUAGGAGUUGGUAUCUCGGGGUAGUAUAAGGAGGAUGGGAGAGGGGAAGAAAAUGCCAGACUGUGAUAGUACUGAGCCGGGGAUAAGCUUGGUGCUAUCUCUUCUUCUUAGUUUUUUUAUUUCUUUUGUGUUA